This 502-nucleotide ribosomal RNA is filed under the name uncultured bacterium. RNAcentral's name for it is "partial 16S ribosomal RNA". It matches the Rfam family "Bacterial small subunit ribosomal RNA", at positions 30 to 523 of the family's 1533-position model. The record is from RNAcentral.
AUUGAACGCUGACGGCAUGCUUAACACAUGCAGGUCGAACGGCAGCACAGUACGUAGCAAUACGUAUGGGUGGCGAGUGGCGGACGGGUGAGUAACGCGUAGGAAUCUGCCUUGAAGCGGGGGACAACCCGAGGAAACUCGGGCUAAUACCGCAUAAUAUCGAGAGAUUAAAGCUGGGGCAACCUGGCACUUCAAGAGGAGCCUGCGUACGAUUAGCUAGUUGGUAGGGUAAAGGCCUACCAAGGCGAUGAUCGUUAACUGGUCUGAGAGGAUGAUCAGUCACACUGGAACUGAGACACGGUCCAGACUCCUACGGGAGGCAGCAGUGGGGAAUAUUGGACAAUGGGGGCAACCCUGAUCCAGCAAUGCCGCGUGUGUGAAGAAGGCCUUCGGGUUGUAAAGCACUUUUGGCAGGGAGGAAGAUGUGGAGUUUAAGAGACACUACAUUUGACUGUACCUGCAGAAUAAGCACCGGCUAACUCUGUGCCAGCCGCCGCAGUAA